GACGGGUGAGUAACGGCUGGGAACCUGCCCUGACGAGGGGGAUAACCGUUGGAAACGACGGCUAAUACCGCAUAAUGUCUACGGACCAAAGGUGGCCUCUACAUGUAAGCUAUCGCGUUGGGAUGGGCCCAGUUAGGAUUAGCUAGUUGGUAAGGUAAUGGCUUACCAAGGCAACGAUCCUUAGCUGGUUUGAGAGGAUGAUCAGCCACACUGGGACUGAGACACGGCCCAGACUCCUACGGGAGGCAGCAGUGGGGAAUAUUGCACAAUGGGGGAGACCCUGAUGCAGCCAUGCCGCGUGUGUGAAGAAGGCCUUCGGGUUGUAAAGCACUUUCAGCAGUGAGGAAGGUCGUGUACUUAAUACGUGCACGGCUUGACGUUAGCUGCAGAAGAAGCACCGGCUAACUCCGUGCCAGCAGCCGCGGUAAUACGGAGGGUGCGAGCGUUAAUCGGAAUUACUGGGCGUAAAGCGCAUGCAGGCGGUUUGUUAAGUCAGAUGUGAAAGCCCGGGGCUCAACCUCGGAACCGCAUUUGAAACUGGCAGGCUAGAGUCUUGUAGAGGGGGGUAGAAUUUCAGGUGUAGCGGUGAAAUGCGUAGAGAUCUGAAGGAAUACCAGUGGCGAAGGCGGCCCCCUGGACAAAGACUGACGCUCAGAUGCGAAAGCGUGGGUAGCAAACAGGAUUAGAUACCCUGGUAGUCCACGCCGUAAACGCUGUCUACUUGGAGGUUGAGGUUUUAGACUUUGGCUUUCGGCGCUAACGCAUUAAGUAGACCGCCUGGGGAGUACGGCCGCAAGGUUAAAACUCAAAUGAAUUGACGGGGGCCCGCACAAGCGGUGGAGCAUGUGGUUUAAUUCGAUGCAACGCGAAGAACCUUACCUACUCUUGACAUCCAGCGAAGCCUUUAGAGAUAGAGGYGUGCCUUCGGGAGCGCUGAGACAGGUGCUGCAUGGCUGUCGUCAGCUCGUGUUGUGAAAUGUUGGGUUAAGUCCCGCAACGAGCGCAACCCUUAUCCUUGUUUGCCAGCACRUAAUGGUGGGAACUCCAGGGAGACUGCCGGUGAUAAACCGGAGGAAGGUGGGGACGACGUCAAGUCAUCAUGGCCCUUACGAGUAGGGCUACACACGUGCUACAAUGGCAGAUACAGAGGGCAGCGAGACAGCGAUGUUUAGCGAAUCCCUUAAAGUUUGUCGUAGUCCGGAUUGGAGUCUGCAACUCGACUCCAUGAAGUCGGAAUCGCUAGUAAUCGUGGAUCAGAAUGCCACGGUGAAUACGUUCCCGGGCCUUGUACACACCGCCCGUCACACCAUGGGAGUGGGCUGCACCAGAAGUAGAUAGCUUAACCUUCGGGAGGGCGUUUACCACGGUGUGGUUCAUGACUGGGGUGAAGUCGUAACAAGGUAGCCCUAGGGGAACCUGCGGCUGGUCCACCUCCUUAA
RNAcentral lists this ribosomal RNA (1439 nucleotides) under Salinivibrio sp. TA012_3. Its description in RNAcentral is "bacterial SSU rRNA". It matches the Rfam family "Bacterial small subunit ribosomal RNA". The record is from RNAcentral. Lineage: Bacteria; Pseudomonadati; Pseudomonadota; Gammaproteobacteria; Vibrionales; Vibrionaceae.